AUAUGAUAUUAUUGCACUAAGUCGCCGAGUGGGUACACUGCACGGGAACGGAAUCAGUCAUCAGUUCACUUCGACAAGUCUUCGGAUCUCCUGCGUGCUCGUAAAUGCCGAAUACAAUUUUAUUUCAGUGUAAUGCACGUCUUGUGUUACAGUCCGGGUUAUUAAGUCGAAAAAGUGCCGUGUCGUGUUACAGUCCGGGUUUUUAAGUCGAAAUAGUGCCGUGUCGUGUGUAUCGAUUUUUAAAUUUUAAAAUUUUAAAACGUAUUUAUAACGUACCUACCGUAAUCCAGUUCGCGCGCGAUGAUGAAUAUUGAAGAAAAUAUGUGUGUUCAAUUUUUGGGUACCAACAACAUUGCUGGAAAAUAAAUGAGCGGUGAAAAUGGAUCAAACAAAAACGACGAGAAAAGGAAGUAUAAAGAAAGUUUUGGUCAGCAAAAAAGAUGUCACAGGUAAGAUUAAUAAUAGUAUUAUUUACUUGCACUAAGCGACCUAGGUAAUAUUUUAA
Long non-coding RNA from Acyrthosiphon pisum (pea aphid), 505 nucleotides. RefSeq lists it as uncharacterized. NCBI's taxonomy places the organism in Eukaryota, Metazoa, Arthropoda, Insecta, Hemiptera, Aphididae. The record is from RefSeq and is a predicted model, not a curated record. The transcript has 2 exons.